UAAACGCUGGCGGCGUGCUUAACACAUGCAAGUCGAACGGAGUACUUCUCCCGAGACCGAGGAAGCUUGCUCCAAAGAAUCAUUGAAGUACUUAGUGGCGGACGGGUGAGUAACGCGUGGGUAACCUGCCUCACACAGGGGGAUAACAGUUGGAAACGACUGUUAAUACCGCAUAAGCGCACAGUAUCGCAUGAUACAGUGUGAAAAACUCCGGUGGUGUGAGAUGGACCCGCGUCUGAUUAGCUAGUUGGUGAGGUAACGGCCCACCAAGGCGACGAUCAGUAGCCGGCCUGAGAGGGUGUACGGCCACAUUGGGACUGAGACACGGCCCAAACUCCUACGGGAGGCAGCAGUGGGGAAUAUUGCACAAUGGGGGAAACCCUGAUGCAGCGACGCCGCCGUGAGUGAUGAAGUAUCUCGGUAUGUAAAGCUCUAUCAGCAGGGAAGAUAAUGACGGUACCUGACUAAGAAGCACCGGCUAAAUACGUGCCAGCAGCCGC
RNAcentral lists this ribosomal RNA (500 nucleotides) under uncultured bacterium. RNAcentral describes it as "bacterial SSU rRNA". It matches the Rfam family "Bacterial small subunit ribosomal RNA", at positions 30 to 518 of the family's 1533-position model. The record is from RNAcentral.